UAAUUAGAUCAACUGCGAAUGAUCUUCCAUAGUAUAAAUAUUUCAUCGUCACAUUUCAACACACCCUGUUUUAUUUGUUAUGAUCGUAGAAGCGUGGUCGAACUCGGCAUUUAACUGUUCAUGACUUAUUUCGAUUUCCGAAAAGCUAAAAUAGCUACAUAUAUAUAAUAAUAAUAUCCAAGUGUGUCGCCGUUGGUUGCAAGCAUUGACAAACAUGGAAUCUACUGACAACAUGGAUGGAAUCCUUUCAUCUUGUAUUUCAAAACCACCUCCUUUACAUAUCAAGUAUGCAAAAUAUGAAGAGCGUCUAAAAUCAUUUCUUACUUGGCCCCAAACUGGCAAACCUGAUAAAAAGAAUUUGGCUGAAGCUGGUUUCUUCUUUCAAGGCCCUGAGGACCGUACCAUAUGCUUUCAUUGUGAUGGAGGAUUGAAAAAUUGGACUGCAAAUGAUAAUCCAAUAAUGGAACAUUUCAAUACUUACCCAGAUUGUGCAUUUAUAAAGAAGAAGUUAAAGAAAAGCUAAACACUAAAAAGCCUGUGGUAUGAUGUAAAAUUAUCUCAAGAAAUCCACAUCUGUCUGUGACUUCAUAUAUAUUUUGCUGCUACUAAACAUUGAAAAGAAAACCAAACCAUGCUGGUACUUAUAUGAUAAAGCUAUUUUGCCAUAUUUGAAAUUAUAAAUAAUUAUUCCUACACAGACAGUUAAACGAACUUUUUAACUUAGAAACAUCCAUAGUGACAAACUGACCUUUGCAAAGCCUUAUAAUAUUUCAAACUGUAUGCAAUAGUUGGUUAUAACAAACAGGCAGAACAUUUUGUGACACAUGUAACAACAUUGGAAAGAAAAAUUGCACAUUUUGAGUGGUUUGUUAUCAAGAAGAAGAGCUGUUUGAACUAUUUCAGAAAUGUUUCAUCAAUGUUUUUGUAAUACCAACAUAUUUAUUUGUACUACAUGCAUGUUUAUUGUUACAGCAUUAUAAUAUCUAACAUAUUUUAAAUAAACUAUAUAUUAUAUAUUAAACAGGCAUUUGACUCACA
Molecule: long non-coding RNA, 1038 nt
Organism: Octopus sinensis (East Asian common octopus)
Lineage: Eukaryota; Metazoa; Mollusca; Cephalopoda; Octopoda; Octopodidae
Exons: 4
Source: RefSeq, a predicted model, not a curated record